RNAcentral lists this small RNA (1737 nucleotides) under Rattus norvegicus (Norway rat). Its description in RNAcentral is "uncharacterized LOC108349586". Lineage: Eukaryota; Metazoa; Chordata; Mammalia; Rodentia; Muridae. The record is from RNAcentral.
UUACAUUAUGAUUCAUAACUAGCAAAAAUACAGUUAUGAAGUAGCAACAAAAAUGAUUUUAUGAUCAGGGUACAACACGAGGAACUCUGUUAAAGGCUCACAGCAUUAGGAAGGUGAGAAGCGCUGCUUUAGAACAAUAUAAUUGAACAAUAUAAUUGAAGAGGGAAAAAGUCAGUGCAACGGUGUUCCUGGUGGAUCUGCAGACACGUUUCAGUGGCAGCAACUUUGACUCCACCUUUCGUUCUUGCUCCCAUCCAUGCAGAACAGGGAACGCUACAGAGAUCAGAGAAAUGAGCAGAGAGCACCGGGAUUACCACUUUUUUGUUUUGAUCUAGUCGAGAUCUGAGGGCGUAAGCUGUCAGGUAAGCUGAACUCCAUGUGGAUCUGACCCUACAGGGAGACAGGAUUUCAACCAUGUGUCAUCCUUCUGUAGGGCACAGGAGACUUGCGUGGCUGCCAUUAGGUGUGAGGGCGUUACCUAAAUCUUAGCAGACAAUCGGAGUCAGGUCUGGGCUGGGAUGCGAGUGUGAGGCAGGACAGAGGGGGCCUGGAGGAGUCUGUAUUCGUUGUGGGGUUACCGGCGGGAAGCGUCUACAGCAGAAGACUAAGGAGCUCCCAAUUGCACAGGUUCUAAGCAUGCAUGUACACCAAUGCCACCCCUUCCCGGCCCAACAGAGAAGGAGCCUCUAACCACGCGCACGCGUGGAAAGAUCCAAGCAACAGAGGACUACAGUCAAAUGCCCCUCACUUCAGAGGGAAAGAAAGACAGGAAACUCCACGGCAGGAUCAAUCGCGCAGAGGUUACUGCCAAUGGGAGCGAGGGGGACGUCCCUGUCCAGGAGCUUCUACAGACGCAAGGCAGAAGCCAACUGCAAUGGGAAGGAGAAGUGGCACAGCCAAAGAAGCCCCACACCGUGGUUUAGGAUCUGAGAUCAAGGCUGAACUAAAACAGCAAGGAAACCAGCCCAGCCACACGACUAGCACUCAGCCACUCGGAGAGGAUCUGCCCCAAAGAAGAGAUAGGUACACAGCCGUGCCAUGCUUACAGUGAACCUUCCCACCCAUGGAGCUGUUCUAUCCUGCGGUCUCACGGGGCCAUCGCUUACAAAGAAUAAAGCUUGAAGGUUGUCAAAGAAAACCACACCUCACGCAGAACAGCAAAGAGUCCAGAAGAAGACAUCAGAUCAUCUGGAGCUAGACGUUCCAGGCCGCUCAGCAUGGGUGCUGGGAACCUUGCUCAGGACGUCUGCAGCAGUGGUGUGCUAACUGCUGCGUCAUCUCUCCAGCACCCGUAUCACCUUUUCAAAACUGUUAGCAAUACUUGCAGACGUCCCGUUUACUCCCAGACAGGCUCAAGUGUUCACGCGUCGUCACUUAUCCAUUGUGCACUUCACUAAUGUUAGGCACCACUCUUCAAGCUUACUGCUCUCACAGAACAUAAAUUAUGUUACAUGUCAGCAUAUGCUCCCGUCUCACCUUAUUAUUUGUAGAAGGAAACAAUGCGCUUAUAGAGGUAAUUUCAAUACCCCGAAUUCAAGAAUGUGUAAGUGAACGUUUCUAGAUUAUCAAGUCAACGCACAAGGUCUUAUGGACUGCCCUUCAGAGGACCAUUCCCUAACUUGUAGCACCAUUUUGAAGGCUGUGUAGAGUUUAGGCUGUGUAACCUAGCUGGCAAAAAGUAGGUGACCAGGGGUCUGUCUUUGAAGGACAUACCUAGCUCUGGUUCUAGGCUAUGCU